This is a long non-coding RNA of Micropterus dolomieu (smallmouth bass), 812 nucleotides long. RefSeq lists it as uncharacterized. The transcript is spliced from 2 exons. NCBI's taxonomy places the organism in Eukaryota, Metazoa, Chordata, Actinopteri, Centrarchiformes, Centrarchidae. The record is from RefSeq and is a predicted model, not a curated record.
GAUAAAAAGUUCCCUUUUAAUAAACCGUGUAUUUGCUACUUGUCUCUCUCUCUUUCUUCUUUCCUCCCAGCCCUCUCCUAUGUCCCUCGCCCAGGUUACUUCUUGCCUCUGGUUGUGUGCCUGCCCUUGGUUCUUGUGCUGUUGGCUGUUUCUCUGCUGGUCAUCUACAAAUGGAAGACAAGGAGGAAUACUGGUUUGAACACCAGAGGAAAUGCAGGCAGCGUACAGAUGGAGGUGGAGUCCGUCAUCUAUGAGAACUGUCCUCCAGUCUCCACAUGUGAAGACUCCAUCUACCAGAACUUCAUUUUAAGACCGGAUACAAAUAGUAAUGUUUGCAUUUGAAUCUUGGUUUUGUACUGUGCAGCUUAUAAUGUGCUGUAAAGUUCCCUUUUCUUCCUUUUCUUUUGGCAGAUAUUAUCUAUAAAUCAUAUUAUCACCUCUCUUCUGAUGAUGCAGAGCUGAUCAUUUGUCUCAGGGUGUUCAGCAUUUUAUCACUUGAUUAUUGUGAAAUGUCAAAUCUGUCUUCAGAAAUGUAGGUGUUGGUUAUUCUUUCCAAAACUUUGAGAAAAACAUAAAUAAAUCAAUACAGUCCAGCAUUUAAUAUGCCACACUAAGCGUCAUUUUGUAAUUGUUAUUUUAGUUUAAUGAAGUCAUUGUGUUUGUCAUUCUUUAUUUGUAUUAUGUUGGUGGGUCCUGUGUGGUGAAAGAUGGUACUGCAUGUUUACAUAAAAGACUGAAAAAUACUCAAAGGUGCGUCAUUAACAAUUGUGAUGGCAAUUCGAGUUUUCAAAUAAACAGCUCAGGCAAACACU